AGGAGGUGCUGCAGUGAAGAAAAUUAGACAAACUUUGGCUCCAGCCACAAAGAAGCAAACUAUUGAAAACGGGAGGGAGUGUGUCCUCAGGGCACUACCUUUUUACCUGAAUGAAGACCCAAGCAUCCUCUUCAAAGAAUAAUUGCUACAGCUACAGCUGUUCAGAGGGAGCUGGAACAAAUUACCCUUGCUAUCUUCACCAUUGAAAAAGCUGAUGUCAGCACUCCUCCAGCCGAUGUGGGUAUAACCAUCUAGGGUGUUCUGCAUGACCUGGAAAACAUGGCCUCUGCAUGUGCACUCUUAAUGGGUGGGAUAUAUGCACUGAAUCUCAGUUAACCUCGAGACUGAAAGCUUUCUUUGAAGUACUUCAGAAGCUCUUCCUUCAUCUGUAUGUCAGCAGACUCUUGACCAAGGUACAGAUACUCAAGAAUAAACUGAACGAAUAAGCCAAUC
Oreochromis aureus is the source of this 453-nucleotide long non-coding RNA. RefSeq lists it as uncharacterized. NCBI's taxonomy places the organism in Eukaryota, Metazoa, Chordata, Actinopteri, Cichliformes, Cichlidae. The record is from RefSeq and is a predicted model, not a curated record. The transcript has 3 exons.